AGAGGAGGAAUGAGCUACAUAUGAUUCUCUAAUAAACGGACAUCAGUCUUAAGAGUAUGAAUGUUAAAAGCACUUAUUUCAACUUGUCCGUGCGGAUGGGUUGCUAAGGAUGGUAACAAGCUGCUUUUGUAACUGAAACAAUGGAACUUGCCAGUGAGCUGGCUGUGAUGUCUAACACUUGAGCUAUAGCAAAAUGGCCCGACAGAGCCUGAAUGAUCCUGUCUUCAGCCUAAACAAAAUGGAUAGACCACAGAAACCCUGCCUCUGAUAAGAGGCCAGUGUGGUGCGCAGACUAGGACAACAUCUGAGGAAACUGGCACACAGAGACUUGUUGAAUGACUUGUGAAACUUGUUCAGAUGGGUGUAGUGGCUCAUGCCUGUAAUCCCAGCACUUUGGGAGGCCGAGGCGGGUGGAUCACCUGAGGUCAGAAGUUCAAGACCACCCUGGCCAACAUGGUGAAACCCCAUCUUUACUAAAAAACACACAAAAAUUAGCUGGGUGUGAUGGUGGGUGCCUGUAAUCCCAGCUACUCAGGAGGCUGAGGCAGGAGAACUGCUUGAACCCGAGAGGCAGAGGUUGCAGUGAGCUGAGAUCACGCCAUUGCACUCCAGCCUGGGUGACAAGAGCAAAACUCCGUCUAAAAAAAAAUGAAAGGGAAUAGAACGAGCUGCAAUGUAAUACACUGCGAUACAACAUGAUGUGAUGGAAUUAUACAACAGGACAGACACUGUCAAGCAGAUAAUAGAACAUAGGUGACAACUCCUAACAUUCAUGGCAUGAAACAACCUUGACCUGGAUGGUGUUCUGCAUACUCAAAACUGGUAAAGAACAAGCCUGUGUCAACAAGAGACUGAAUAAGAAACCCUCAAGGAGGAGACGUGGGAGUUGCCUUCAUUCAUUGGAUAGAGUGCCGCAGGACAGGAUGCUCUGAGAGGCCAGCACCACACCCUCUUGACCAUGCUGUAGCCAUAAAUGUUCCAGAGGCAUCUGAGAAAACCACUGCAGAAUACACAGAGCACAGCUGCAUUUUGUCUGCUCCACCUACAACAGGGUUUGCUCUACCCUGCCAUAUCAGAGGCUCCUGAAAAGACCAACUCACAGCACCACAGGAUGUGAUUAAGCCUUGGAGAAGAUUAAUUACCCACUUUCUUAGGAGUCGGUCUCUCCUCCCCACUCACUCAAGUUCCUUUACCCCCCACUAAGCCUCUGAAAGAAUCUAACAUCAUAAACAAGGAUCUCAUUAGCAACUUGAAUUCGGGCUGCAGAUCUUUUGUGAAGAUUUGGUUACAGAUGCUGCUUUAACUUCUGAGGAUUAUUCUUCAGCAUCCAGAGAGACUCCAGUUGCUCCCCUGGGAAAUGUUCCCUCACUUGAAUAACUCAUCUGUUCACCCAUUGGCAUAACUGCUGCCAGUUCUAAGCACCUGCUGAGGAGUGGACCCAGAUUAGGCCUCUGGCAGGGCUACAAAGAAGGCAUUUCAGUGUUGGACUUCCCAUUCCAUUUGCAUCUUCAGGGGAAGUUAAUGUCCCACUCAAGUUUCUCUCAGUUAGGGUGACAGGGAGAUGCAGUUCUUCAAAUGCUGUCCUCAAGUAGAGAGGGAGACCACAGAGCUCCGACUGGCUUGCCAGCCCAUGGAGCCAUUUUUUCUUUGGUGGUGGAUGCUCUCGGUGUGGCCUCUAGAGCUCCUUUCAUGAUCCUUUUCUCUCUGCAUUCCCACUGCUCUCCCCUCGGGUGGGUCCACAUCACCUCUCGCCUGGACCUCAGUCUGUCUCUUCUCUGCUAACCAGGGUGUCUUCACUUCUCUGCAGCUUUCACACGGCAGCCAGAUUAAUGUUCCUCAGUGCAGCUUUGAUCACACCACUGUGCCCAAACAAAAUCUUUCAUGGCCCCCAGCUACCCAGUGAUCAAAGUCCAGGGUCCUCACUCCAGCAUUAAAGAGCCUCUGUAUUGUGGAUCCCAAAUCAUCACAUGCCCCACCUCCAUCACCCAUCUGUUCCACUCCCACCUACCUCAACCUCAGUUCUAGUCCUUCAAGCUGCAGGCAGCAGCUCAUUGAGAAGGUCAUGAAAUCAAUGAAGUAUGUGACGAAAGCAUUUUAAAAUGAAAUUUAUAGCAAAAGAACAAAUAUGUAUAUGGCUUUCUAUAUAGCAGGCUCCAUUCCAAAUACUUUGCAUAGACUCACAUACUUCUCACACUGUCCCUAGGGAAAUAAGCACUCUUGCUAUCCCUGUUUUACAGAUAAGGACACAGACCCAGGGAGGUUAAAUAAGUUGUCCAAAGUGAUUAAUUCUGGCUUGAACCCAGAGAGCCUUGUAUCAGAAGCCACACUCUGCUAUACUCCCCAUGAUGUACUAUAUGGAAUAAAACUAUAUUCUAGAUUUUGUAAAACCAUAUGGAACAGAAUAGAAAAUUUAGGGCAUUCUGUAUAUACAAUGGUAAAUGUUCCAUGAAGGUCUGUUGGAGAUAAAUAUAAAUGUAUACACACAAGACUACAGUAGAAAAUGUGUAUUGUGCUGAGUACACAAGGUCAAGUGUUUGUCUUACUGUGGCUUGUGGGCAAAAACAUGUGAAACCUGUUGUUCUGGCUAAAACCAAGGAACUGCCAAUGAUCUCUCAUGCUUCUUUGCCUCUACAUCUUCACCCACACUGAUCCCAGCACUGGAAACAUCUUUCCCCGUCGUUUCUCACCUGUAUCUCUGGUCCAAACAUGUCUUGUCCAUGGAGUCUUUCUUAAUUCUUCUCUUUAUUCUGUCUUCUAAAUUAUAAGCUUCUUGAGGGCUUAGGUACAUACAUUUCACAAUCAGUUCUUGCUUCCUGACAAAGAAGGAAGCAUCUUCCAGGAGGCUUUUACUCCCAACCUACUUUCAACCCCCAUUGGUGUGAUGAGAUUUCUGAUAUUCGUCUUCUUUCUGUGAUAGUUUGGGACAAUGGUUCUCAAAGUGUGGUCCCCAGACCAGCAACAUCAGCAUCGCCUGGGACUUGUUAGAGAUGCGUAUUCUCAGGCCCCAUCCCAGACCUACUGAAUCGGAUUAUCUGAGGGUGAACAACAGCAGCGUGUGCUACAACCAGCCUUCCAAGUGAUUCUGAUGCUUGUGCAAGUUCGAGAACCACUGGCUUAAGAAAAAGCCAUUCUUAUUCAAUAUGAGAGAAGGGUUUGUUUCAUGACUCUGGGCCAGUUGGCUGCAUUGUAUUGCUUAUGAGGACAAGGUCAGGGGAUCAACUUUGUGUAUCCAAGUCAGCAACAUGUCACACCACACAUUGAAUCCCCCAACCCUAGCUUUUGUGCAAUUGCAAGCUAUUUAGUCCCAAAAGAACUAUGGAUGUCUCAGUGCCAAAGCUAACUCACCUAAAUUACUACUGUCAUCGCAUUAAUGGAGCCAGACUCACAGCCACGAGCCAUCAAGCACCCUGCAGGGGACAGUAAAAGCAGAACCAGGAAUGGACAAAGACAUUGUUAGAAGUCAAGAGAACAUGGACUUUCUAAAUACCAAAGCAUUUUAGAAGGUAUGGCUAAAACAGAUUGCAAAUGAUGAAAGGCAGUAAAAAUCCAAGUGGGUUUAGGAUGGGAAAUUUCAAAUUUCAUAGGAAAUCCAAGGUCACAGAAAUAAUAAACCAGAAUGACCUAGGAGCUAGCACUUGAUAGAUUCAGGAGCAUUUCCAUGGACAGACAUUUUAUAUUUGAAGAAACUCGAAUCUAUAUUCCAAGAAGUUAAGAAACAAGAUCAUGCAAUGAGGAAAUAGCAGAAUAGAAUGCAAACCAACUUUUUUUACCCAGGAGUCUCAACUAAAGGUCUGCCUGCCCUGCCGAGGGCACUCCCCUCUCUGCGGUUUCUCUUCUACACUCCUGCCACACUGGCCCCAGUGCUGCCAUGUCCACUCCCAGGGCUCUGCACUUACUCUUCCUUCUCUUUUAAGUAUUUUUUCGCUAGCUGUUCCCAGAGCUGCACCCUCCUCAUCCUUUAGGCCUCAACCCAAAUGUUACUUACUCAGAGAGUUCUUCCCUGACCACCCAGCCCACACUUCUGUGACUGUACAAGUUUCCUGGGGCUGCUGAAACAAAUGACUGCAAAGUUGGUGACUUAAACCACCACAACAUAAGUUGGCUGGUUGUGGUGGCUCACGCCUGUAAUCCCAGCACUUUGGGAGGCCCAGGCGGGCGGAUCAUGAGGUCAGGAGAUUGAGACCAUCCUGGCCAACGUGAUGAAACCUCAUCUCAACUAAAAUACAAAAAAAUUAGCCGGGUAUGGUGGUGUGUGCCUAUAGUCCCAGCUGCUCAGGAGGCUGAGGCAGGAGAAUUGCUUGAACCCAGGAGGCAGAGAUUGAAGUGAGCCAAGAUCACACCACUGCAUUCCAGCCUGGACAACAGAACGAGACUCCAUCACAAAAACAAAACAAAACAAAACAAAACAAAAACAUAAGUUUUUUCACUUAC
This 4431-nucleotide long non-coding RNA is filed under the name Homo sapiens (human). RNAcentral describes it as "HSALNT0405885". The record is from RNAcentral. Lineage: Eukaryota; Metazoa; Chordata; Mammalia; Primates; Hominidae.